RNAcentral lists this unclassified non-coding RNA (3542 nucleotides) under Haliotis rufescens (red abalone). RNAcentral describes it as "uncharacterized LOC124145858, transcript variant X4". The record is from RNAcentral. Lineage: Eukaryota; Metazoa; Mollusca; Gastropoda; Lepetellida; Haliotidae.
CUAGCAACAGCUUUAGCAGACAUAACGGCAGCGAUGACCAGCUACGGGGUAACGCUUAUCUCGGGUCAUGACUCUGGAUCACCCGUGUGGCAGAUGGGUGUGAAGUUAUCAGCCUAUACAAGGCAAGAUUAACACAUUCAGCCUAGAAUAAUAAUAGAAUAAUACAGGUACAUAUUUACAUGUGUACUUCCUUGAGAAACAACAGUUGGAGUGUGUUAAUUAUAACAUACACAGGCUGUGGAUCUCUCGUAAUAAAUUCCUACCCUUGUGAUAACGCUCUAUGUAGAUGAGUUCGUGGUGAAAAAUUACCUGCCCGAAUUAAGACCUAGAUUGUGAUUUGGUUUGAAAGUUUAUUCUCAGUUCUGGACUGACAUCGUCUAUAGUAUGUGCAGGAAACAGAUGCAGUUUUAAACACUUAAUAUCCCGGAUAAAUGCUGCAUGUUAAACAGCGAAUGUUAGGAAGUGUAAAAGCGCCUGUUGUUUUUCCCUUCGUGGAUGUGUUAAAGCCGCGAGGAACAUACAUAUACAGACAGCAGAGGUAUCACGAGGCAGGGGCAUCGCUGGAGUCGGAGCUCGAGAGCGCUGAAGUAUUCAGGUGUCUGUGAUUGUCUAGCGUUAUAAAGAUUCCGGUGCCACUACGCUCGUGUGUUCUAGGCUGGUCCACGCGUAUUCUGAGAGUCAAGUCGUUUCGUCGCAUAAGGAAUGUACAUGUUUGUGUGAUUAAACAGUCGAGGAGGUAAUCUGUUAACAGUGUAGGUCACGGGUACAUACCUUCUAUUCACUGCUAUUACAGUUCGUGCGAUGAGAUAAGAGAAAUCAUCACAGAGACCUAUACCCGUGCCUCGGAGACCUACUGGAACAUCGGGAUCUAACAGAAGCCUCGGUGUCCAUCCUGAACCUCUGAGGCCUACCCGAAACUCGAAGACCAACCUGAACCUCGAAAGCCUACCCGAAACUCCAAGACCAACCUGAAUCUCGAAGAGCUACCCGAAACUCGAAUACCUACCUGAAACUCGAAGACCGACCCGAAACCCGAAGACCUACCCGAAAUCGGAAGACCUACCAGAAACCCGAAGACCAACCUGAAUCUCGAAGAUCUACCCGAAACCCGAAGACCUUCCAGAAACCCUGAGACCUACCUGAAACUCGAAGACCAACCUGAACCUCGAAAGCCUACCCGAAACUCCAAGACCAACCUGAAUCUCGAAGAGCUACCCGAAACUCGAAUACCUACCUGAAACUCGAAGACCGACCCGAAACCCGAAGACCUACCCAAAAUCGGAAGACCUACCAGAAACCCGAAGACCAAGCCGAAACUCGAAGAUCUAUCCGAAACUCGAAGAUCUACCCGAACCUCGAAGACGUAUCCGAAACUCGAAGACUACCCCAAACCCGAAGACCAACCUGAAUCUCGAAGAUCUACCCGAAACCCGAAGACCUUCCCGAAACCCUGAGACCUACCUGAACCUCGAAGACCAACCUGAACCUCGAAAGCCUACCCGAAACUCCAAGACCAACCUGAAUCUCGAAGAGCUACCCGAAACUCGAAUACCUACCUGAAACUCGAAGACCGACCCGAAACCCGAAGACCUACCCGAAAUCGGAAGACCUACCAGAAACCCGAAGACCUACCCGAAACCCUGAGACCUACCGGACCCCGAAGAUCUACCCGAUCCCCGGAGACUUAUCCGACUCCCGAAGCGCCCCUUUGCGUCUCCCGCUGACCUAUACGCACAUGAAUGGUAUUCUGACAAUGAAAGGGGGUCGAUAAUGUCAUGUAAAAUCGCAUACCAUAAAUCACGGGCGCAAAGCACCACGUGAUAUGCGAGGCUUUCUGUACCGGCUUUAUUGAUGUGUGAUAAAACCCACGUGGCACCGUGGGGAUAAACUGUGUGUUGCAGCAGCAUUGCAUCACCGUGCAGCCGGGCGACUGGCGCGCCAACUCGAAGACGUCCCAGUGUCACCAUGUCGUGGAGAGUGACCCCGAGAUGUUCGUAUCUUGUCUGUUUAACCCUCUUGCUUCUGACCAUUGGUCAGUCUGUAGCCACACCCAGCUGUCGUCCAGACACGAACUGCACAAUCCAGGAGACACUCCCCUGUGCAGUCCGUUCCACACAGUUCUGCCGGGAAAACAUCGGGAUGUUCUCGCGUCCCUCGGGGCAACUAUCGUGGCCGGGAAAACCACGUGACUUUGAGGUGAAGGCCGUGGAGAUACAGUGUGAUUUGGCCAUUGUUUCCGGUCUCCGCUUCCAGUGGAAGGCCCCACAGGACAGUAGCGUGCACCACAUGAAGGGGUUCAAGUUGACGGUGACGGCGCUGGACGGCAGAUGGAGGGGGAGUUCCCCCAUUUGUCGACUGUUUGAUCUGAGGAACGCUUCGUGGUCUAUUCCUGACGUAGAAGUAAAUUUCACCUAUAGGUUGUAUCCACUUCCAAACAAUACGCAGUAUUAUGUCACCCUCGUAAGCCUGCCACAACCGGAAGUACAACAUCUACCGGAAAUGGGUUACCACGUGACGGUGUACAUUCCGCCAAUAGGCCCAGGGGACUGGCGGAGUGAUAUUCGCACCUCUUUGGACGAGAACAAUCUCACAGUGACUUUCAACCUCGCUCCUAACUACUACAAAUUCCGACACUACGAUGUCAUCCUGAGGGGACUAAGUAACGAUACAUCUACCCGGCACACCCUUAAAGUUGGGGGCAGAGUCAAGAAUCGGGAUAGAUAUAAGCAGACCGUCUUCUACGAUGUUCCUACCGGAAAGUAUAGAGUUGAGGUGAUGCCUGUCGGUGGAGCGUGUCAGUUUGACUGUUCCAUGACAGUGAAAGGUCCAAUCGUAGUGGAGCACCGUCAACGACAACGACAACUGUCAUCAGAUUGGACGCCCCACAUCAACGUCUCUGUUGACGUCAACAACACCGUCAUCGUGACAUUUCAUGCUGCCAUCAGCGACGACAUCGCACACUACAACGUGAUACUCUCUAGCAUCAACACUACCAACGAACAGCAGCACAUCCUGUCGCAGGAUCACCACAAUGUUUUGAAAACAACGUUUCAGAACGUUUCUCCGGGGACUUACAGAAUUGGGCUGCAACCGCUUGGCGGACUAUGUGAGCAAGCAUGCAGCACAGUGUGGACCAACACCAUCUUAGUGACGUCUCAUGUACAACCAGAGCGCAUGUCCAUGCUCAACAAUCGUUUGCCUGGUUCAUCCGGGUCUCCUAAUGACGUCAUCAAAACCGUUCUGGGGUCCGUGCUGGGCGUGCUUGUUGCGUUAAUUCUGUUGCUGCUCUUCGCCUUCUCACUGAGGAACAGAGGUCGAGGUAUGAGGGGGACCUUUUCGUGUUUGGAACAGCGGAGCUAACUCACGUGACAGCCGAGAACCCUUGACAGCAGCUCCAAGUCAUAAAAACAAAAUUGCCAUGCAGCUACUUCCCCUUGAGCGGCGGAAGGUGUUUCUGUUGUACACGGAGGACCACGAAGCGCAUGUUAAACUUGUAGGCACUCUUGCCCUCUAUCUGCAAACCUACUGUUUCUGUGACGUGU